This 443-nucleotide ribosomal RNA is filed under the name uncultured bacterium. Its description in RNAcentral is "partial 16S ribosomal RNA". It matches the Rfam family "Bacterial small subunit ribosomal RNA", at positions 338 to 795 of the family's 1533-position model. The record is from RNAcentral.
CCUACGGGAGGCUGCAGUGGGGAAUAUUGGACAAUGGGGGGAACCCUGAUCCAGCGACGCCGCGUGAGUGAAGAAGUAUUUCGGUAUGUAAAGCUCUAUCAGCAGGGAAGAAAGAAAUGACGGUACCUGACUAAGAAGCCCCGGCUAACUACGUGCCCGCAGCCGCGGUACUACGUAGGGGGCAAGCGUUAUCCGGAUUUACUGGGUGUAAAGGGAGCGUAGACGGCGAUGCAAGUCUGAAGUGAAAGGCGGGGGCCCAACCCCCGGACUGCUUUGGAAACUGUAUGGCUGGAGUGCAGGAGAGGUAAGUGGAAUUCCUAGUGUAGCGGUGAAAUGCGUAGAUAUUAGGAGGAACACCAGUGGCGAAGGCGGCUUACUGGACUGUAACUGACGUUGAGGCUCGAAAGCGUGGGGAGCAAACAGGAUUAGAUACCCGAGUAGUC